AUAUAAAUAAUGGGAUUAGUUUUUAGCCUAGUCUAUUAAUUCAAUCCCGGGGCGUUCUAUAUAGUUAUGUAUAAUAGUAUUUAUAUUAUUUAUACCUCUAACUAGAGCGUACCUUGAGCAUAUAUGCUGUGACCCGAAAGAUGGUGAACUAUACUUGAUCAGGUUGAAGUCAGGGGAAACCCUGAUGGAAGACCGAAACAGUUCUGACGUGCAAAUCGAUUGUCAGAAUUGAGUAUAGGGGCGAAAGACCAAUCGAACCAUCUAGUAGCUGGUUCCCUCCGAAGUUUCCCUCAGGAUAGCUGGUGCAUUGAAAAUUUAUGUAAAAUAAUCUUAUCUGGUAAAGCGAAUGAUUAGAGGCCUUAGGGUCGAAACGACCUUAACCUAUUCUCAAACUUUAAAUGGGUAAGAACCUCACCUUUCUUGGUAUGAAGGUAGUGGUUGUGAUAUAAUGUGCCCAGUGGGCCACUUUUGGUAAGCAGAACUGGCGCUGUGGGAUGAACCAAGCGUAAUGUUACGGUGCCCAAAUUAACAACUCAUGCAGAUACCAUGAAAGGCGUU
RNAcentral lists this ribosomal RNA (558 nucleotides) under Graphogaster vestita. RNAcentral describes it as "partial 28S ribosomal RNA". It matches the Rfam family "Eukaryotic large subunit ribosomal RNA", at positions 723 to 1225 of the family's 3401-position model. Lineage: Eukaryota; Metazoa; Arthropoda; Insecta; Diptera; Tachinidae. The record is from RNAcentral.